RNAcentral lists this ribosomal RNA (493 nucleotides) under uncultured bacterium. RNAcentral describes it as "partial 16S ribosomal RNA". It matches the Rfam family "Bacterial small subunit ribosomal RNA", at positions 30 to 507 of the family's 1533-position model. The record is from RNAcentral.
AUUGAACGCUGGCGGCAUGCUUUACACAUGCAAGUCGAACGGCAGCGAGGAGAAGCUUGCUUCUCUGUCGGCGAGUGGCGAACGGGUGAGUAUAGCAUCGGAACGUGCCAAGUAGUGGGGGAUAACCAAACGAAAGGUUGGCUAAUACAGCGUAAGCUCUAAGGAGGAAAGUAGGGGACCUAAAUAAGGCCUUUCGCUAUUUGAUCGGCCGAUGUCGGUUUAGCUAGUUGGUGGGGGAAUGGCCCACCAAGGCAAGGAUCCGUAGCGGGGGUGAGAGGACGGUCAGCCACACUGGGACUGAGAUGCGGCCCAGACUCCUACGGGAGGCAGCAGUGGGGAAUUUUGUACAAUGGGGGAAACCAGGAUCCAGCCAUGCCGAGUGGAUGAAGAAGGCCUUAGGGUUGUAAAGUUCUUCUGUUAGGGAAGAAAAGCUAGGUUUUAAUAAAAAGUAUUGAUGACGGUACCUAAAGAAUAAGCACCGGCUAACUACGUG